Molecule: ribosomal RNA, 497 nt
Filed under: uncultured bacterium
Lineage: Bacteria
Description: partial 16S ribosomal RNA
Rfam family: Bacterial small subunit ribosomal RNA
Source: RNAcentral
GAUGAACGCUGGCGGCGUGCCUAAUACAUGCAAGUCGAGCGAACAGAUGAGGAGCUUGCUCCUCUGACGUUAGCGGCGGACGGGUGAGUAACACGUGGAUAACCUACCUAUAAGACUGGGAUAACUUCGGGAAACCGGAGCUAAUACCGGAUAAUAUCUUGAACCGCAUGGUUCAAUAGUGAAAGACGGUUUUGCUGUCACUUAUAGAUGGCUCCGCUCCGCAUUAGCUAGUUGGUAAGGUAACGGCUUACCAAGGCAACGAUGCGUAGCCGACCUGAGAGGGGGAUCGGCCAAACUGGAACUGAGACACGGUCAAGACUCCUACGGGAGGCAGCGGUAGGGAAUCUUCCGCAAUGGGCGAAAGCCUGACGGAGCAACGCCGCGUGAGUGAUGAAGGUCUUCGGAUCGUAAAACUCUGUUAUUAGGGAGGAACAAAUGUGUAAGUAACUAUGCACGUCUUGACGGUACCUAAUCAGAAAGCCACGGCUAACUACGUG